AAAGAACUAACAAGGAUUUCCUUAGUAACGGCGAGCGAACCGGAAGGAGCCCAGCUUGAAAAUCGCGGGGCCUGGCCCCGCGAAUUGUAGUCUGGAGAAGCGUCCUCUGCAGCGGACCGGGCCCAAGUUCCCUGGAACGGGACGUCGGAGAGGGUGAGAGCCCCGUCGAGCUCGGACCCUGCUGCUCCACGAGGCGCUGUCGGCGAGUCGGGCUGUUUGGGAAUGCAGCCCUAAGCGGGUGGUAAAUUCCAUCCAAGGCUAAAUACGGGCAAGAGACCGAUAGCGAACAAGUACCGCGAGGGAAAGAUGAAAAGGACUUUGAAAAGAGAGUUAAAAAGUGCUUGAAAUUGCUGGGAGGGAAGCGAAUGGAGGCUGCGGGUGCGCCCCGGUUGGAUGCGGAACGGCGCGAGCUGGUCCGCCGCUCAACGCGGGGCGCUGGUCAGCGUGGGCUAUCUCGGCGGGACAAGAGCCGGCUUUCGAUGCUUGCCUAUGCCGUUGGGAUGGCCGAGGGACGAAGCGCGCGCCUCCGGGCGGCCCCCCUGGGGACCUGCGCGCUCGGGACGCUGGCGCAUUGAGCUUUCCAUCCGGCCCGUCUUGAAACACGGACCAAGGAGUCUAACAUGUAUGCGAGCCGGUGGGUGGCAAACCCACGGAGGCGCAAGUAACCUGACAGGUGGGAUCCCCCCUCGCGGGGAGCACCAUCGACCGACCAUGAUCUUCUGUGAAAGGUUUGAGUGCGAGCAUACCUGCUGGGACCCGAAAGAUGGUGAACUAUGCCUGAGCAGGGCGAAGCCAGAGGAAACUCUGGUGGAGGCUCGUAGCGAUACUGACGUGCAAAUCGUUCGUCAGACUUGGGUAUAGGGGCGAAAGACUAAUCGAACCAUCUAGUAGCUGGUUCCCUCCGAAGUUUCCCUCAGGAUAGCUGGAGCUCAUGUUAGUUUUAUCAGGUAAAGCGAAUGAUUAGAGGCAUCGGGGGUGAAACACCCUCGACCUAUUCUCAAACUUUAAAUGGGUAAGUCGCCGGGGUUGCUUGAUUGAACCCCGGCACAGAAUAGAGC
Molecule: ribosomal RNA, 1058 nt
Filed under: Pleurozia paradoxa
Lineage: Eukaryota; Viridiplantae; Streptophyta; Jungermanniopsida; Pleuroziales; Pleuroziaceae
Description: eukaryotic LSU rRNA
Rfam family: Eukaryotic large subunit ribosomal RNA
Source: RNAcentral